RNAcentral lists this small RNA (18 nucleotides) under Arabidopsis thaliana (thale cress). RNAcentral's name for it is "ATSL302310". Lineage: Eukaryota; Viridiplantae; Streptophyta; Magnoliopsida; Brassicales; Brassicaceae. The record is from RNAcentral.
GAGGUUCAAGGCAUUCAG